Long non-coding RNA from Fopius arisanus, 506 nucleotides. RefSeq lists it as uncharacterized. Lineage: Eukaryota; Metazoa; Arthropoda; Insecta; Hymenoptera; Braconidae. The record is from RefSeq and is a predicted model, not a curated record. The transcript is spliced from 3 exons.
GAUAACUCUCGAGACACACAUGGAAAUUAAUAUCUCGUUGCAGUGAGAAGUAUGGAUCGGGUUCAAUCGACAAGCUGAAGUUUCAGAAAAUCGUAUGGAUUUUCUUUGUCAAGAGGUAAUUUUGAAGAGUUUACAAAUUUCAAACAAACAUUUUCCACGGGUUCCUCCAUUAAGAGAACAAUAAAUGAUGAAUAUGUUUUAUAAAACCGGAUACCAAUUAAAGGAGAUAAAACAAUGGAGUUUGAGUAGAUUUACUGGAAGCAGUGGGUUUGUCACGAUAAACGAAGAAAAGCUAUAAAUCUUUGUAUAACCGAGGGUCAAUCCUCCUUCCAUUUAUGAAUUCUCUUCGUUCUCGUUGUCGGCUUUUUGACCGGUGGGUAAGUACCACUAGUCUCACUUGCUAACUACCGUUGAUUUGGCAGAAUUGAUGGCAAUGAGGAGUCAACUGGGGAAUACACCUCCACAAUUUUUCAACGUCCAAAUAUUUAAAUGCUCAUUUCCCCAUA